Molecule: ribosomal RNA, 497 nt
Filed under: uncultured bacterium
Lineage: Bacteria
Description: partial 16S ribosomal RNA
Rfam family: Bacterial small subunit ribosomal RNA
Source: RNAcentral
GAUGAACGCUGGCGGCGUGCCUAAUACAUGCAAGUCGAGCGAACAGACGAGGAGCUUGCUCCUCUGACGUUAGCGGCGGACGGGUGAGUAACACGUGGAUAACCUACCUAUAAGACUGGGAUAACUUCGGGAAACCGGAGCUAAUACCGGAUAAUAUAUUGAACCGCAUGGUUCAAUAGUGAAGGACGGUUUUGCUGUCACUUAUAGAUGGAUCCGCGCCGCAUUAGAUAGUUGGUAAGGUAACGGCUUACCAAGGCAACGAUGCGUAGCCGACCUGAGAGGGCGAACGGCCACACUGGAACUGAGACACGGUCCAGACUCCUACGGGAGGCAGCAGUAGAGAAUCUUCCGCGAUGGGCGAAAGGCUGACGGAGCAACGCCGCGUGAGUGAUGAAGGUCUUCGGAUCGUAAAACUCUGUUAUUAGGGAAGAACAAAUGUGUAAGUAACUAGGCACGUCUUGACGGUACCUAAUCAGAAAGCCACGGCUAACUACGUG